CCUACGGGUGGCAGCAGUGAGGAAUAUUGGUCAAUGGACGAGAGUCUGAACCAGCCAAGCCGCGUGAAGGAUGAAUGUCCUCUGGGUUGUAAACUUCUUUUAUAAGGGAAUAAAGCGAGGCACGUGUGCCCUUUUGCAUGUACUUUAUGAAUAAGGAUCGGCUAACUCCGUGCCAGCAGCCGCGGUAAUACGGAGGAUCCGAGCGUUAUCCGGAUUUGUUGGGUUUAAAGGGAGCGUAGAUGGGUUGUUAAGUCAGUUGUGAAAGUUUGGGGGUCAACCGUAAAAAUGCAAUUGAUACUGGCAGGCUUGAGUACAGGAGAGGUAGGCGGAAUUCGUGGUGUAGCGGUGAAAUGCGUAGAUAUCACGAAGAACCCCGAUUGCGAAGGCAGCUUACUGGCCUGUGACUGACGCUGAGGCUCGAAAGCGUGGGUAUCAAACAGGAUUAGAUACCCGAGUAGUC
RNAcentral lists this ribosomal RNA (460 nucleotides) under uncultured bacterium. RNAcentral's name for it is "partial 16S ribosomal RNA". It matches the Rfam family "Bacterial small subunit ribosomal RNA", at positions 338 to 795 of the family's 1533-position model. The record is from RNAcentral.